This 165-nucleotide small RNA is filed under the name Streptomyces agglomeratus. Its description in RNAcentral is "c-di-AMP sequence". It matches the Rfam family "c-di-AMP riboswitch aptamer (ydaO/yuaA leader)". From Rfam's summary of the family: This family represents a conserved RNA structure found upstream of the ydaO and yuaA genes in Bacillus subtilis and related genes in other bacteria. The ydaO/yuaA element is thought to act as a genetic "off" switch for the ydaO and yuaA genes in its native state. The record is from RNAcentral. Lineage: Bacteria; Bacillati; Actinomycetota; Actinomycetes; Kitasatosporales; Streptomycetaceae.
AAUCCACAACCACUCACACUCACGUACGGCAGGAGCGGGGGAACCAGGUAAGCCGCCGGUCCGGAACGUUUCCGGACCGGCUUGGGGUGAAGUCGCACCGAACGUGCGACCGGGCAUCUCCAGCCCGAACCCGACAGCUCACCUCGCAGGCGACGGAGAGGAAUU